UACGUAGGGGGCAAGCGUUGUCCGGAUUUAUUGGGCGUAAAGAGCGUGUAGGCGGCCAUACAGGUCCGUUGUGAAAACUGGAGGCUUAACCUCCAGACGUCGAUGGAAACCGUAUGGCUAGAGUCCGGAAGAGGAGAGUGGAAUUCCUGGUGUAGCGGUGAAAUGCGCAGAUAUCAGGAAGAACACCCGUGGCGAAGGCGGCUCUCUGGGACGGUACUGACGCUGAGGAGCGAAAGCCAGGGGAGCAAACGGG
RNAcentral lists this ribosomal RNA (253 nucleotides) under uncultured bacterium. RNAcentral's name for it is "partial 16S ribosomal RNA". It matches the Rfam family "Bacterial small subunit ribosomal RNA", at positions 524 to 776 of the family's 1533-position model. The record is from RNAcentral.